This 29-nucleotide unclassified non-coding RNA is filed under the name Dictyostelium discoideum. The record is from RNAcentral. Lineage: Eukaryota; Evosea; Eumycetozoa; Dictyosteliales; Dictyosteliaceae.
GUUGUUGAGGUUAAAAAGCUCGUAGUUGA